AAGUCGAGCGGACUUAAAAAGCUUGCUUUUUAAGUUAGCGGCGGACGGGUGAGUAACACGUGGGCAACCUGCCUGUAAGACUGGGAUAACUUCGGGAAACCGGAGCUAAUACCGGAUAAUCCUUUCCUACUCAUGUAGGAAAGCUGAAAGACGGUUUACGCUGUCACUUACAGAUGGGCCCGCGGCGCAUUAGCUAGUUGGUGAGGUAACGGCUCACCAAGGCGACGAUGCGUAGCCGACCUGAGAGGGUGAUCGGCCACACUGGGACUGAGACACGGCCCAGACUCCUACGGGAGGCAGCAGUAGGGAAUCUUCCGCAAUGGACGAAAGUCUGACGGAGCAACGCCGCGUGAGUGAUGAAGGUUUUCGGAUCGUAAAACUCUGUUGUUAGGGAAGAACAAGUACGAGAGUAACUGCUCGUACCUUGACGGUACCUAACCAGAAAGCCACGGCUAACUACGUGCCAGCAGCCGCGGUAAUACGUAGGUGGCAAGCGUUGUCCGGAAUUAUUGGGCGUAAAGCGCGCGCAGGCGGUCCUUUAAGUCUGAUGUGAAAGCCCACGGCUCAACCGUGGAGGGUCAUUGGAAACUGGGGGACUUGAGUGCAGAAGAGAAGAGUGGAAUUCCACGUGUAGCGGUGAAAUGCGUAGAGAUGUGGAGGAACACCAGUGGCGAAGGCGACUCUUUGGUCUGUAACUGACGCUGAGGCGCGAAAGCGUGGGGAGCAAACAGGAUUAGAUACCCUGGUAGUCCACGCCGUAAACGAUGAGUGCUAAGUGUUAGAGGGUUUCCGCCCUUUAGUGCUGCAGCAAACGCAUUAAGCACUCCGCCUGGGGAGUACGGCCGCAAGGCUGAAACUCAAAGGAAUUGACGGGGGCCCGCACAAGCGGUGGAGCAUGUGGUUUAAUUCUAAGCAACGCGAAGAACCUUACCAGGUCUUGACAUCUCCUGACAAUCCUAGAGAUAGGACGUUCCCCUUCUGGGGACAGGAUGACAGGUGGUGCAUGGUUGUCGUCAGCUCGCGUCGUGAGAUGUUGGGUUAAUUCCGCAACGAGCGCAACCCUUGAUCUUUAUUGCCACCAUUUAUUUGGGCACUCUAA
This 1099-nucleotide ribosomal RNA is filed under the name Bacillus sp. (in: firmicutes). RNAcentral describes it as "bacterial SSU rRNA". It matches the Rfam family "Bacterial small subunit ribosomal RNA", at positions 59 to 1143 of the family's 1533-position model. The record is from RNAcentral. Lineage: Bacteria; Bacillati; Bacillota; Bacilli; Caryophanales; Bacillaceae.